CUACAGAGGGUGCAAGCGUUAAUCGGAAUUACUGGGCGUAAAGCGCGCGUAGGCGGUUUGUUAAGUCGGAUGUGAAAUCCCUGGGCUCAACCUGGGAACUGCAUUCGAAACUGAUUGACUAGAGUAUGGUAGAGGGUGGUGGAAUUCCUAGUGUAGCGGUGAAAUGCGUAGAUAUUAGGGGGAACAUCAGUGGCGAAGGCGACCACCUGGACCAAUACUGACGCUGAGGUGCGAAAGCGUGGGGAGCAAACAGGAUUAGAUACCCCGUAGUCC
Molecule: ribosomal RNA, 273 nt
Filed under: uncultured bacterium
Lineage: Bacteria
Description: partial 16S ribosomal RNA
Rfam family: Bacterial small subunit ribosomal RNA
Source: RNAcentral